Molecule: ribosomal RNA, 466 nt
Filed under: uncultured bacterium
Lineage: Bacteria
Description: bacterial SSU rRNA
Rfam family: Bacterial small subunit ribosomal RNA
Source: RNAcentral
CUCCAGACUCCUACGGGAGGCAGCAGUGAGGAAUAUUGGUCAAUGGCCGGAAGGCUGAACCAGCCAAGCCGCGUGAGGGAGGAAGGCGCAGAGCGUCGCAGACCUCUUUUGCCGGGGGACAAAAGGCCGGACGGGUCCGGUUCUGAGGGUACCCGGAGAAAAAGCAUCGGCUAACUCCGUGCCAGCAGCCGCGGUAAUACGGAGGAUGCGAGCGUUAUCCGGAUUUAUUGGGUUUAAAGGGUGCGUAGGCGGACGCUUAAGUCAGCGGUAAAAUUGCGGGGCUCAACCUCGUCGAGCCGUUGAAACUGGGUGCCUUGAGUGGGCGAGAAGUACGCGGAAUGCGUGGUGUAGCGGUGAAAUGCAUAGAUAUCACGCAGAACUCCGAUUGCGAAGGCAGCAUACCGGCGCCCUACUGACGCUGAGGCACGAAAGCGUGGGUAUCGAACAGGAUUAGAUACCCCCGUAA